Molecule: ribosomal RNA, 524 nt
Filed under: Calonectria spathiphylli
Lineage: Eukaryota; Fungi; Ascomycota; Sordariomycetes; Hypocreales; Nectriaceae
Description: eukaryotic LSU rRNA
Rfam family: 5.8S ribosomal RNA (bases 166-319)
Source: RNAcentral
UUGGUGAACCUGCGGAGGGAUCAUUACCGAGUUUACAACUCCCAAACCCCAUGUGCACAUACCUGUUUGGUUCCCUCGGCGGUGUCCGGCAACGGCCCGCCAGAGGACCCAACAAACUCUUUUGAAUUUUUCAGUAUCUUCUGAGUGAAAAAAUCAAUAAAUCAAAACUUUCAACAACGCAUCUCUUGGUUCUGGCAUCGAUGAAGAACGCAGCGAAAUGCGAUAAGUAAUGUGAAUUGCAGAAUUCAGUGAAUCAUCGAAUCUUUGGACGCACAUUGCGCCCGCCAGUAUUCUGGCGGGCAUGCCUGUUCGAGCGUCAUUUCAACCCUCAAGCUCUGCUUGGUGUUGGGGAUCGGCAAGGCGUCCUCCGGGUCGCGCCGUCCCCCAAAUAUAGUGGCGGUCUCGCUGUAGCUUCCUCUGCGUAGUAAUACACCUCGCUCUGGAGUCUCGGUGCGACCACGCCGUAAAACCCCCAACUUUUUCUCCCUCACCACGAAUCAGGUAGGACUACCCGCUGAACUUAA